UUCUGGGGGUCACCCCCAGCCAGCAGCACGCCACCGGUCCCAGGGAAAACAAACUUUCCACUGCGCCUAUGGAGCUACGUGAGCCAUAACUCAUCACCUCCUAACCCGGGGAGCAGGGACUGACAACAGCCAUCAGGCUUGAGAUGUAACAUCUGAGCCUGCGUGCCCUCCAUUUAUCAUCUGGGAUGCCCCGAAUAUAUACAGGGUAAGUUUCCAUGGGUUCAUAAAAGCUGUGAUUUAAUAACAGCCACCAAAAGGCAAUACAUGAGAUGUUAGCUCUGAGAGGUUUUUUGGGGAACAACUUAUGAUGUGGACGUAGAUUACACAGGUGCUGUUCUUCUGUUAUCGCUGAAGUUUAAUUUUUGUCACUAACACGUUUUGCUAGCAGAGCUUAAAGGUCACAUCCCUGAGGAUACGGCACCGUUUGCGUGAGCAGAGCUUGGCGUUCUCUUCGGAUAAUGGCCAUUGUGGGCUGGUAUUGCUAGAGGACAAGUGAAAGUGAGAUUGCAAGGAUGGGGGGGACCGGGGGGUGUUUUGUGGCCUUACAUCCAUCUUCAUCACAGGAGGGCCACUGAGGAAUUGCCGCGUUAACAAGUAACACAGCUCUGAGCCUACAGUCCCACCCACUGCAGCAGGGAGAGCUUCUCAAGAAAUAACAAACCCAACCCACACCUCGGCGCAGAACGUUCAGACGAUGAGGCUCACUGCCCUGUGUGAUGCGUGGAGCCAAACGCUUCCUGUUGCCCAACCUGCAAUUGAUGGCUUGGCAAAUAUUUUCAUUGGACUUGAUAAUCCUUACAUUUUCAGCCUGAUUCUGCUCAACUCGGUGGCAGUGGCAGAGGUCAGGGCUCGCAGUGAGUUCUUAGCAAAGCCAGCAAGGAGAAGCGGGAGUCAUGAAGUAAGAGCAAGCGGGCUUUUAUCUAGGGUGUAUCUUUGGGGAGUCAAUGUGAAAAAGGAUGCUUUAAAUAAAGUGCCUGGCUUUUUAUAAUGCAGCUGUCCCAUUAAAUGCAAAUGGGCUUUAACUCCGUGUGAUGCUCCUGGAAGAAGGCGGCCAACAGAGAUAUGCUUCAGCAUUUUGUUCAUGUGCAUUUUCUUAUGCCUCAAAUUGCAAGACUGCAACAUAAAAAACAGAAGUGAAAACCUGCCCCUGCAAGGAAGCAAAAUGUCAUCAGUAUAAUAGCUGCUAUCUCUGUGGUUUGCUAAUUGCGCCUUUCUGCCUUGCUGGUUUCCUGAGAUGGGUGGUGGAAAUACAGAAGAAGAAAAAUAACCACCAACUUCUGAACUUGAUCAAAGCUAAAGAAGUGAUUUCACAUGCUUCAAUCCAGUGAAUUUUCAGCACGAGUGCCCUUGGAAACAGAGAAGGUUUGGGUGGGGGAAGGAACAAAGAGGGGCUCCAACACACAUUUCUGUCAAGUGGAAACCACAGAGGGAAGAAUAACAGAGCUGCAGUGCGCAGCGUGAAGAUUUCUGCACAGCUUCAAGCUCGUCCUCCCUCCGGUUGUGCACAUCUGUGCAACGUCUCUGCGGACUGAGAUUGUACCAUUUUCAGCAGACAAGGACUGGGUUGCUCUGGCUGGCACCACGCUGAUGUCUAAUUUAGACAAAAUUUUCCUUGAUUUAAAAGAGCCUGACAUGCACUCGUAGAUUACUCCCAAGCAGCUGUAAAACCAGACACUUGUCAGGAAUUCUGAGUGCUGCACAGUCACAGAAAGCAGAGCGCACCGCGGCCGCCUGGCAGAGGUUUGACUCCAUGAGUUAUAGCUUACCUAGAAGCAGGGGGAAGAAUGGGAACGUUGUUCCAAAUUCACUGGGUGCUAGCAGCGUUGGCUCACGUUGGUAAGACAGCAUCUGUCAGCUAAGCCUGGUUAAUUACAAGUUCCUCAGAAACCCUAUCCCUAAUUGCCCAAAGAAAGCCACAGACUGAAUUAGGGCAGUGUUCGUGCAAGUCUCUGCUGGGCAGCACAGCCCCUGGUGCGAGUUGUAUGCGCAGGGAGUGGAAGGGUUUGAAUGCUCAGCGUUUGCUUCUGGACCAGAAUACGUGUUUUGUGCUGGUGGCAUUUUCCUCUUCACCCAGAGGAGGACUCACAAAUAUUAGCACCAGAUGUAAACAGAGAUCAAACUCUUUGACUGUUACUGAAGACUUAAAUGUCAUCUUUUGCACUGACUCAAUAAACCAUCCUGAAGUGCUUGUGUCCUCCCAGUCCCUUGUUUAUUUCUUCUUAAUUUUUAUAUACUUAUACUCCUGUAUUCCUCUCUUCAGUGUUUCAGUUUCCAUUGUCUCCAUCUUUUUUCCAUAAUACAACAUACCCAACAUGAAAUCAGCAUUUUAGCUCCUGUUUCAAAGAUGCUAAGAAGGGCGGUAGGACUCACGCCUCUGAAAGCCUUUCUGUCAAACUGUAGAUUCAGGUUUGUGCUCAGGCCAUCCUACAGCCUUCUGGCCCGGCUCUAUGGCAGGACACUUCCCCAUGACCUAGGACAAGAGCACACACACAUAAGAGAACAAUGUUCCUCCUGGGAAGACCCCACAUUGGCCCCACGUUUGCUAUCCCUGUGACAGACAGGUCCAAUCCCAAAUUGCUCACAAUUGCAGAUGGUUCAGACCCAGCCCACAUAAAUGCAUGUCUAGACAAAUGUGCUUUUAAAAUUGAGUUAGCCACUCCGAGCUGGGGCACAAAUUAAUCCUG
Gallus gallus (chicken) is the source of this 2684-nucleotide long non-coding RNA. NCBI's taxonomy places the organism in Eukaryota, Metazoa, Chordata, Aves, Galliformes, Phasianidae. The record is from Ensembl.